Molecule: transfer RNA, 77 nt
Filed under: Clostridiaceae bacterium
Lineage: Bacteria; Bacillati; Bacillota; Clostridia; Eubacteriales; Clostridiaceae
Also listed under: 1 other name
Description: tRNA-Arg
Rfam family: tRNA
About the family: Transfer RNA (tRNA) molecules are approximately 80 nucleotides in length. Their secondary structure includes four short double-helical elements and three loops (D, anti-codon, and T loops). Further hydrogen bonds mediate the characteristic L-shaped molecular structure. tRNAs have two regions of fundamental functional importance: the anti-codon, which is responsible for specific mRNA codon recognition, and the 3' end, to which the tRNAs corresponding amino acid is attached (by aminoacyl-tRNA synthetases). tRNAs cope with the degeneracy of the genetic code in two manners: having more than one tRNA (with a specific anti-codon) for a particular amino acid; and 'wobble' base-pairing, i.e. permitting non-standard base-pairing at the 3rd anti-codon position.
Source: RNAcentral
GGGCAUAUAGCUCAGCUGGAUAGAGCAACAGCCUUCUAAGCUGUGGGUCGCAGGUUCGAAUCCUGCUAUGCUCGCCA